UCAGCUUUCUCUGCCUUCUGGCUUAGAUCAAGUGUAGUAUCUGUUCUUAUUCAGCCUAAUCGCUGAUAGCCCUGCAUCGCAGGACUUUACUGAUUAUGCAGUCUUUGGACCUCGUGACUUGGCCUCUGUGCUUGCAUAUGCCUCGUUGCACUGUGUCACUGGGCUCACACUACCCCGGUCGACGCGAAAUCCU
This 193-nucleotide small nuclear RNA is filed under the name Penicillium vulpinum. RNAcentral's name for it is "U2 spliceosomal RNA". It matches the Rfam family "U2 spliceosomal RNA". Rfam says of the family: U2 is a small nuclear RNA (snRNA) component of the spliceosome (involved in pre-mRNA splicing). Lineage: Eukaryota; Fungi; Ascomycota; Eurotiomycetes; Eurotiales; Aspergillaceae. The record is from Rfam by way of RNAcentral.